Molecule: ribosomal RNA, 460 nt
Filed under: uncultured bacterium
Lineage: Bacteria
Description: partial 16S ribosomal RNA
Rfam family: Bacterial small subunit ribosomal RNA
Source: RNAcentral
CCUACGGGAGGCAGCAGUGAGGAAUAUUGGUCAAUGGACGAGAGUCUGAACCAGCCAAGUAGCGUGAAGGAUGACUGCCCUAUGGGUUGUAGACUUCUUUUAUAUGGGAAUAAAACGUUCCACGUGUGGGAUUUUGUAUGUACCAUAUGAAUAAGGAUCGGCUAACUCCGUGCCAGCAGCCGCGGUAAUACGGAGGCUCCGAGCGUUAUCCGGAUUUCUUGGGUUUAAAGGGAGCGUAGGUGGAUUGUUAAGUCAGUUGUGAAAGUUUGCGGCUCAACCGUAACAGUGCAGGUGAAACUGGCAGUCUUGAGUACAGUAGAGGCGGGCGGAAUGCGUGGUGUAGCGGUGAAAGGCUUCGAUAUCGCGAAGAACCCCGAUUGCGAAGGCAGUUCACUGGACUGCAACUGACACUGAGGCUCGAAAGUGUGGGUAUCAAACAGGAUUAGAUACCCUAGUAGUC